RNAcentral lists this ribosomal RNA (590 nucleotides) under uncultured bacterium. RNAcentral's name for it is "bacterial SSU rRNA". It matches the Rfam family "Bacterial small subunit ribosomal RNA", at positions 336 to 916 of the family's 1533-position model. The record is from RNAcentral.
CUCCUACGGGAGGCAGCAGUGAGGAAUUUUGCGCAAUGGGGGAAACCCUGACGCAGCAACGCCGCGUGGGUGAAGAAGGCUUUCGGGUCGUAAAGCCCUGUCAGGUGGGAAGAAACUCUUCAGUACUAAUAAUGCUGAAGCCUGACGGUACCACCAGAGGAAGCACCGGCCAACUCCGUGCCAGCAGCCGCGGUAAUACGGAGGGUGCAAGCGUUGUUCGGAAUUAUUGGGCGUAAAGAGCGUGUAGGCGGCUUGGUAAGUCAGAUGUGAAAGCCCUGGGCUCAACCCAGGAAGUGCAUUUGAAACUACCAGACUUGAGUACGGGAGAGGAGGGGGGAAUUCCCGGUGUAGAGGUGAAAUUCGUAGAUAUCGGGAGGAAUACCGGUGGCGAAGGCGCCCCUCUGGACCGAUACUGACGCUGAGACGCGAAAGCGUGGGGAGCAAACAGGAUUAGAUACCCUGGUAGUCCACGCCGUAAACGAUGAGCACUAGGUGUAGCGGGUAUUGACCCCUGCUGUGCCGUAGCUAACGCAUUAAGUGCUCCGCCUGGGGACUACGGUCGCAAGACUAAAACUCAAAGGAAUUGACGG